Molecule: transfer RNA, 76 nt
Filed under: Arcanobacterium sp. S3PF19
Lineage: Bacteria; Bacillati; Actinomycetota; Actinomycetes; Actinomycetales; Actinomycetaceae
Description: tRNA-Gly
Rfam family: tRNA
About the family: Transfer RNA (tRNA) molecules are approximately 80 nucleotides in length. Their secondary structure includes four short double-helical elements and three loops (D, anti-codon, and T loops). Further hydrogen bonds mediate the characteristic L-shaped molecular structure. tRNAs have two regions of fundamental functional importance: the anti-codon, which is responsible for specific mRNA codon recognition, and the 3' end, to which the tRNAs corresponding amino acid is attached (by aminoacyl-tRNA synthetases). tRNAs cope with the degeneracy of the genetic code in two manners: having more than one tRNA (with a specific anti-codon) for a particular amino acid; and 'wobble' base-pairing, i.e. permitting non-standard base-pairing at the 3rd anti-codon position.
Source: RNAcentral
GCGGAUGUAGCUCAGUUGGUAGAGCACAACCUUGCCAAGGUUGGGGUCGCGGGUUCGAGUCCCGUCAUCCGCUCGA